RNAcentral lists this ribosomal RNA (270 nucleotides) under Triticum aestivum (bread wheat). RNAcentral's name for it is "partial small subunit ribosomal RNA". The record is from RNAcentral. Lineage: Eukaryota; Viridiplantae; Streptophyta; Magnoliopsida; Poales; Poaceae.
AUGGGCAAGAAACUGUUCUUCAUGGCCAUCCUUCUCAUCCUGGGGGCGGCGACAACAGCGGUGCGGGGCGAGCUGGUGUGCGACGUGCUGAGGGCAGAGUGCAUGGUCAAGUGCUGGCAAGGGACGGGCAAGUGCAUGCGAUGCUGCCAGGCCCUGGGCUACGUCCAUGGCCGCUGCAAUCUCGUCCGCGGCGACGUCUGCUACUGCUGCAACGACGACGGCGCACCACCCUCCUCGCCUGCACAAGAGCGACACGGCCGGCUACCAUAG